CGAGAUGAGUAUUCUAAGGCGCUUGAGAGAACUCUGGAGAAGGAACUCGGCAAAUUGACACCGUAACUUCGGAAGAAGGUGUGCCUUUAGUAGGUGUAGUUGUACAAACGAAGCCCAAUGAGGCCGCAGAGAAUCGGUGGCUGCAACUGUUUAUUAAAAACACAGCACUCUGCAAAGACGAAAGUCGACGUAUAGGGUGUGACGCCUGCCCGGUGCUGGAAGAUUAAAUGAUGGGGUGCAAGCUCUUGACUGAAGUCCCAGUAAACGGCGGCCGUAACUAUAACGGUCCUAAGGUAGCGAAAUUCCUUGUCGGGUAAGUUCCGACCUGCACGAAUGGCGUAACGACUUCCCCACUGUCUCCAGGAUAUGCUCAGCGAAAUUGAAUUCUCCGUGAAGAUGCGGAGUACCCGCGGUUAGACGGAAAGACCCCGUGCACCUUUACUGCAACUUCAGAGUGGCAUUAGGAAAGAAUUGUGUAGAAUAGGUGGGAGGCUUUGAAACUUGGGCGCCAGUCCGAGUGGAGCCAUAAUGUGAAAUACCACCCUAUUGUUUUCUGGUGUCUAACCUAGAUCCGUUAUCCGGAUCAGGGACCCUCUGUGGUGGGUAGUUUGACUGGGGCGGUCUCCUCCUAAAGAGUAACGGAGGAGUACGAAGGUGCGCUCAGACCGGUCGGAAAUCGGUCGUAGAGUAUAAAGGCAAAAGCGCGCUUGACUGCGAGACAGACACGUCGAGCAGGUACGAAAGUAGGUCAUAGUGAUCCGGUGGUUCUGAAUGGAAGGGCCAUCGCUCAACGGAUAAAAGGUACUCCGGGGAUAACAGGCUGAUACCGCCCAAGAGUUCAUAUCGACGGCGGUGUUUGGCACCUCGAUGUCGGCUCAUCACAUCCUGGGGCUGAAGCCGGUCCCAAGGGUAUGGCUGUUCGCCAUUUAAAGUGGUACGCGAGCUGGGUUUAGAACGUCGUGAGACAGUUCGGUCCCUAUCUGCCGUGGGUGUAGGAUACUUGAGAGGAGUUGCCCCUAGUACGAGAGGACCGGGGUGAACGAUCCACUGGUGGACCUGUUGUGGCGCCAGCCGCAGUGCAGGGUAGCUAUGAUCGGAAAGGAUAACCGCUGAAGGCAUCUAAGCGGGAAGCCCCCCUCAAAACAAGGUAUCCCUGAGGGCCGUGGUAGACCACCACGUCGAUAGGCCGGAGGUGUAAGCGCAGCAAUGCGUUCAGCUGACCGGUACUAAUGGCCCGAUAGGCUUGAU
Molecule: ribosomal RNA, 1248 nt
Filed under: Heterosigma akashiwo
Lineage: Eukaryota; Raphidophyceae; Chattonellales; Chattonellaceae
Description: partial Bacterial large subunit ribosomal RNA
Rfam family: Bacterial large subunit ribosomal RNA
Source: RNAcentral